This 569-nucleotide ribosomal RNA is filed under the name uncultured bacterium. RNAcentral's name for it is "partial 16S ribosomal RNA". It matches the Rfam family "Bacterial small subunit ribosomal RNA", at positions 355 to 914 of the family's 1533-position model. The record is from RNAcentral.
UGGGGAAUAUUGCACAAUGGGCGCAAGCCUGAUGCAGCCAUGCCGCGUGUGUGAAGAAGGCCUUCGGGUUGUAAAGCACUUUCAGCGAGGAGGAAGGUGGUGAGCUUAAUACGCUCAUCAAUUGACGUUACUCGCAGAAGAAGCACCGGCUAACUCCGUGCCAGCAGCCGCGGUAAUACGGAGGGUGCAAGCGUUAAUCGGAAUUACUGGGCGUAAAGCGCACGCAGGCGGUUUGUUAAGUCAGAUGUGAAAUCCCCGGGCUCAACCUGGGAACUGCAUUUGAAACUGGCAAGCUAGAGUCUCGUAGAGGGGGGUAGAAUUCCAGGUGUAGCGGUGAAAUGCGUAGAGAUCUGGAGGAAUACCGGUGGCGAAGGCGGCCCCCUGGACGAAGACUGACGCUCAGGUGCGAAAGCGUGGGGCAGCAAACAGGAUUAGAUACCCUGGUAGUCCACGCUGUAAACGAUGUCGAUUUGGAGGUUGUGCCCUUGAGGCGUGGCUUCCGGAGCUAACGCGUUAAAGUCGACCGCCUGGGGAGUACGGCCGCAAGGUUAAAACUCAAAUGAAUUGAC